This 273-nucleotide long non-coding RNA is filed under the name Mytilus galloprovincialis (Mediterranean mussel). The record is from RNAcentral. Lineage: Eukaryota; Metazoa; Mollusca; Bivalvia; Mytilida; Mytilidae.
CGUUGGUAAUUAUCUAGACGUCAUACAUAUCUAUAUCCUUCAUCAGUAUAUAUGUACAGUCUGAUGUAGAAAUGCAUCAUAAAUUGUGCUGGUUUUUCAAAAAUCUUGGAAGAAUUGUAAAUUUUUUAUUUUUACAAUCCUUUUUAAAUCUGUAUAUUCUGUAAGAUCAUAGUCUUCGAUGGUUUGUUUCACACAAGUUAACCAUGUGUUACACGCUUACACUGUAAGCUAGGUUGGUUUUAUUGUUUUUGUUUCUGUUUACGUAAUAUUAUU